GGUGGACCUGCGGAAGGAUCAUUG
RNAcentral lists this ribosomal RNA (24 nucleotides) under Dillandia perfoliata. RNAcentral describes it as "partial 18S ribosomal RNA". Lineage: Eukaryota; Viridiplantae; Streptophyta; Magnoliopsida; Asterales; Asteraceae. The record is from RNAcentral.